Molecule: microRNA precursor, 103 nt
Filed under: Marmota monax (woodchuck)
Lineage: Eukaryota; Metazoa; Chordata; Mammalia; Rodentia; Sciuridae
Source: RNAcentral
AAUGGGAUAACUGGGUCAAAUGGUGGUUCUAUUCCAAAUUUUCUGAGGAAUCUCCAUACUGCUUUCUAGAGUGAUUGCAUCAAUUUGCAGUCCCACUAGUAAU